RNAcentral lists this ribosomal RNA (732 nucleotides) under uncultured organism. RNAcentral describes it as "bacterial SSU rRNA". It matches the Rfam family "Bacterial small subunit ribosomal RNA", at positions 557 to 1298 of the family's 1533-position model. The record is from RNAcentral.
GGCGUACAGCGCGUGUAGGCGGCUGUGCAGGUCGGAUGUGAAAGCUCCCAGGCUAAACCGGGAGAGGUCAUUCGAAACCGGAUAGCUAGAGGAUGGCAGAGGCGUGUAGAAUUCCGGGUGUAGUGGUGUAAUGCGCAGAUAUCCGGAGGAUACCCAGUGGCGAAGGCGGCACGCUGGGCCAUCACUGACGCUGAGACGCGAAAGCAUGGGGGAUCGAACGGGAUUAGAGACCCCGGUAGUCCAUGCCGUAUACGAUGCACACUGGAUGUUCGCGGUCGGAAACGGCUGUGAGUGUCGAAGCUAACGCGAUAAGUGUUCCGCCUGAGGAGUACGGUCGCAAGGCUAAAACUCAAAGGAAUUGACGGGGGCCCGCACAAGCAGCGGAGCGUGUGGUUUAAUUCGAAGAUACGCGUAGAACCUUACCAGGGCUUGACAUCCUGUGAACGAACCAGAAAUGGGACGGUCCCUUCGGGGCACAGUGACAGGUGCUCGCAUGGCUGUCGUCAGCUCGUGCCGUGAGGUGUUCGGUUAAGUCCGCAAACGAGCGCAACCCCUGGUGCUAGUUACAAGUGUCUAGCACGACUGCCCGUGAGAAACGGGAGGAAGGUGGGGAUGACGUCAAGUCAGCAUGGCCUGUAUGUCCAGGUCGACACACACGCUACAAUGGCGCGUACAAUGGGCAGCGACCCCGCGAGGGCAAGCGAAUCUCGUAAAGCGCGUCUCAGUUCGGAU